RNAcentral lists this ribosomal RNA (449 nucleotides) under uncultured bacterium. Its description in RNAcentral is "partial 16S ribosomal RNA". It matches the Rfam family "Bacterial small subunit ribosomal RNA", at positions 29 to 523 of the family's 1533-position model. The record is from RNAcentral.
AACGAACGCUGGCGGCAUGCCUAACACAUGCAAGUCGAACGAGAUCUUCGGGUCUAGUGGCGCACGGGUGCGCAACGCGUGGGAAUCUGCCCUUUGGUUCGGAAUAACAGUUGGAAACGACUGCUAAUACCGGAUGAUGACGAAAGUCCAAAGAUUUAUCGCCAGAGGAUGAGCCUGCGUAGGAUUAGCUAGUUGGUGUGGUAAAGGCGCACCAAGGCGACGAUCCUUAGCUGGUCUGAGAGGAUGAUCAGCCACACUGGGACUGAGACACGGCCCAGACUCCUACGGGAGGCAGCAGUGGGGAAUAUUGGACAAUGGGCGAAAGCCUGAUCCAGCAAUGCCGCGUGAGUGAUGAAGGCCUUAGGGUUGUAAAGCUCUUUUACCCGGGAUGAUAAUGACAGUACCGGGAGAGUAAGCUCCGGCUAACUCCGUGCCAGCAGCCGCGGUAA